AAAGUCGUAACAAGGUUUCCGUAGGUGAACCUGCGGAAGGAUCAUUACAGAGUAUCAUGCCCUCGCGGGUAGAUCUCCACCCUUGAAUAACAUACCUUUGUUGCUUUGGCAGGCCGCAUCCGUGCCGGGGGCUAACGCUCUCGAGUGCCUGCCAGAGAAUCACCAACUCUUGUUUUUGUGAUGUCUGAGUACUAUAUAAUAGUUAAAACUUUCAACAACGGAUCUCUUGGUUCUG
RNAcentral lists this unclassified non-coding RNA (235 nucleotides) under Ascomycota sp. RNAcentral describes it as "partial contains small subunit ribosomal RNA, internal transcribed spacer 1, and 5.8S ribosomal RNA". The stretch from base 1 to 47 matches the Rfam family "Eukaryotic small subunit ribosomal RNA", at positions 1785 to 1831 of the family's 1831-position model. Lineage: Eukaryota; Fungi; Ascomycota. The record is from RNAcentral.